This 5526-nucleotide long non-coding RNA is filed under the name Salmo salar (Atlantic salmon). RNAcentral describes it as "lncRNA (ENSSSAG00000095831.1, ENSSSAG00000109387.1)". The record is from RNAcentral. Lineage: Eukaryota; Metazoa; Chordata; Actinopteri; Salmoniformes; Salmonidae.
AUCUACACACAAUACCCCAUAAUGACGAAGCAAUGACAGGUUUUUAGAAAUGUUUGAAAAUGUCUAAAAAAUUAAAUAACUGAAAUAUGACAUUUACAUAAGUAUUCAGACCCUUUACUCAUUACAUUGCGGAAGCACCUUUGGCUGCGAAUACAGCCUCGGGUUUUCUUGGGUUUGACGCUACAAGCUUGGUGUAGGAGCCAUUUUGGCCUGUUUAUGAGUUGUGUAUAUAUUGUCUGUCAAGGGUUAUUUUUACUUGUUUUGUACACUAGAGGGCAUUAUAUGUUGGGGUUAUGGAUCACUGGUCUUGUGUGCAUAUAGGUAGUACAGGUGACCAGGAAGGGUUAGCACAGGUGAGAGGAGAGCACAUACAGUUGUUACCGUAUCACAGAUACAGCUUAUAGAAUGCAUCUCUCUGCACCUUUUUUUUAUAGGAAUAUGUGUUUGGGAGCUAUUUAUAUAUGCAAUAAAUGGGAACUACACCACAAAAGAGUAACAUUUGGAAAGCUGAUUUUUGUGGACGCAUUAUGGAUAGCUCCCUUCUGUGGCAGUUCAUAGGGAAUCGCCACUACACUUGGCAUGCCUGUUUUUCUGAAAUUUCUGCCAUCCUUCUCUGCAGAUCCUCUCAAGUUGUCUUUGUCCUGUCGUGUCCCUUGUAUAUAUAUUUUUACAUCUUUUUCUUCGCAUAUCUUUUAAAAAUAUUUUCCUAAACCUCAACUUCUAAAUACUCUCCUGCAACCCGCCUCACCCAAUGUGGCGUGGAUCUGUUUUUUUUCUAAAGUAUUUCUAUUUAAUUCAGAUCUGGAAUCCCUCAACUGAAGCUAGCCAGCUAACUACCUACCAGGUAUUAGUCAGCAAACCAUUGCUAGCGGUCAUCAGCUAACCUUUAGCUCGGAAAGCUCUCGCCAGUUCGAACAAUGUGACUCAAACCAGAGCAUAACGGACCUAUUAUUAUUUUUUAAUUUUUUUCCCCCAUAUCCCUGGAUUCCUACCGCAAACUCUGAACAUUUUCAUCUGGAUCUUCGCAACUAGCUAACCGCAAUCCUGGGUGACUUCUCCUGGCUAGCUUUUCCAUCCCAGAGCAAGCACCAAUUAGCCUGAAGCUAGCCCAGCCAGGGCUCCUGUGCUACCACCGAAGCCCACUCCUGGGCUACAAUAUCUGGACCCCUUCUACUGCCGGUACAGGGCACGGAACCCCGCCGAUCCUCUAUGACUGGAAUAUCAACAUAAUCUGACCGAGGAUUCCAACAGGCCCCUCAGGCGCGACGUCCGCUGAAGGCCCAUUCUGCUAACCGCGGCCUACUAGCUACCUAGAGUUACUUAGAACCCUACUAAUUCCACGACUGGUCUAUCGACGUCACCGCACGAAGAGGCAAAAACAGACUUACCCCCAUCGCGACGUCCCCCAAAGGCUAACUUGCUAGCCCCGGUUAAUCCAGGUCCUGCAGUGCCUAGCUCCACUCCCACUCCCCAGGUGCUCUCAUUUGUUGACUUCUGUAACCGUAAAAGCCUUGGUUUCAUGCAUGUUAACAUUAGAAGCCUACUCCCUAAGUUUGUUUUACUCACUGCUUUAGCACACUCUGCCAACCCGGAUGUCUUAGCCGUGUCUGAAUCCUGGCUUAGGAAAACCACCAAAAACCCUGAAAUCUCCGUCGCUAACUAUAACAUUUUCCGCCAAGAUAGAACUGCCAAAGGGGGCGGUGUUGCAAUCUACUGCAAAGAUAGUAAUACAGAACUCUGCAGGCUAUCCAAGUCUGUACCAAAACAAUUCGAGCUUCUACUUUUAAAAAUUCACCUUUCCAGAAACAAGUCUCUCACUGUUGCCGCUUGCUAUAGACCUCCCUCUGCCCCCAGCUGUGCCCUCGAUACCAUAUGUGAAUUGAUUGCCCCCAUAUAUCUUCUGAGCUUGUUCUACUAGGUGACCUAAACUGGGACAUGCUUAACACCCCGGCCAUUCUACAAUCUAAGCUAGAUGCCCUCAAUCUCACACAAAUUGUACAACCCCAAAUCCAUAAACACGGGCACCUCCAUAGAUGUCAUCCUAACUAACUUGCCCUCCAAAUACACCUCUGAUGUUUUCAAUCAAGAUCUCAGCGAUCACAGCCUGCAUCCGUAAUGGGUCUGCGACCAAACGACCACCCCUCAUAACUGUCAAACGCUCCCUAAAACACUUCUGCGAGCAGGCCUUUCUAAUCGACCUGGCCGGGGUAUCCUGGAAUGACAUUGACCUCAUCCCGUCAGUAGAUGAUGCCUGGCUAUUCUUUAAAAGUGCCUUCCUCACCAUCUUAAAUAAGCAUGCCAGACUCAAAAAAUGUAGAACUAGGAAUAGAUAUAGUCCUUGGUUCACUCCAGACCUGUCUGCCCUUGACCAGCACAAAAACAUCUUGUGGUGUUCUGCAUUAGCAUCGAAUAGCCCCCGUGAUAUGCAACCUUUCAGGGAAGUUAGGAACAAAUAUACAUAGGCAGUUAGAAAAGCUAAGGCUAGCUUUUCAAACAGAAAUGUGCAUCCUGUAGUACUAACUCAAAAACGUUUUGGGACACUGUAAAGUCCAUGGAGAAUAAGAGCACCUCCUUCCAGCUGCCCACUGCUCUGAGGUUAGGAAACACUGUUACCACCGAUAAAUCCACUAUAAUUGAGAAUUUCAAUAAGCAUUUCUCUACGGCUGGCCAUGCUUUCCACCUGGCUACCCCUACCCCGGUCAACUGCCCGGCACCCUCCACAGCAACCCGCCAAAGCCCCCCUGCUUCUCCUUCACCCAAAUCCAGAUAGUUGAUGUUCUGAAAGAGCUGCAAAAUCUGGAUCCCUACAAAUCAGCUGGGCUAGACAAUCUGCACCCUCUCUUUCUAAAAGUCUCUGCCGAAAUUGUUGCAACCCCUAUUACUAGCCUGUUCAACCUCUCUUUCAUAUCGUCUGAGAUUCCCAAAGAUUGGAAAGCUGCCGUGGUCAUCCCCCUCUUCAAAGGGGGUGGCACUCUAGACCCAAACUGUUAUAGACCUAUAUCCAUCCUGCCCUGCCUUUCUAAAAUCUUCGAAAGCCAAGUUAACAAACAGAUCACCGACCAUUUCGAAUCCCACCGUACCUUCUCCACUAUGCAAUCUGGUUUCCGAGCUGGUCAUGGGUGCACCUCAGCCACGCUCAAGGUCCUAAACGAUAUCAUAACCACCAUCGAUAAAAGACAGUACUGUACAGCUGUAUUCCUCGACCUGGCCAAGGCUUUCGACUCUGUCAAUCAUCACAAUCUUAUCGGCAGACUCAAUAGCCUUUGUUUCUCAAAUGACUGCCUCACCUGGUUCACCAACUACUUCUCAGACAGAGUUCAGUGUGUCAAAUCGGAGGGCCUGUUGUCCGGACCUCUGGUAGUCUAUGGGGGUGCCACAGGGUUCAAUUCUCAGGCUGACUCUUUUCUCUCUAUAUAUCAAUAAUGUCGCUCUCGCUGCUGCUGAUGAUUCUCUGAUGCACCUCUAUGCAGGCGACACCAUUCUGUAUACAUUUGGCCCUUCUUUGGACACUGUGUUAACAAACCUCCAAAUGAGCUACAAUGCCAUACAACACACCUUCUGUGGCCUCCAACUGUUUUUAAAUGCUAGUAAAACUAAAUGCAUGCUCUUAAACCGAUUGCUGCCCGCACCCGCCCACUACUCUGGAUGAUUCUGAAUUAGAACAUGUGGACAACUACAAAUACCUAGGUUUCUGGUUAGACUGUAAACUCUCCUUCCAGACUCACAUUAAGCAUUUCCAAUCCUAAGUUAAAUCUAGAAUCGGCUUCCUAUUUCGCAACAAAGCCUCCUUCACUCAUGCUGCCAAACAUACCCUCGUAAAACUGACUAUCCUACCGAUCCAUUGACAAAAUAGUCUCCAACACUACUCAGCAAACUGUAUGUAGUCUAUCACAGUGCCAUCCAUUUUGUCACCGAAGCCCCAUAUACUACCCACCACUGCAACCUGUAUGCUCUCGUUGGCUGGCCCUCGCAACAUAUUUGUCCCCAGACCCACUGGCUACAGGUCAUCUAUAAGUCUUUGCUAGGUAAAGCCUCGUCUUAUCUCAGCUCACUGGUCACCAUAGCAACACCCACCCGUAGCAAGCGCUCCAGCAGGUAUAUUUCACUGGUCAUCCCCAAAGCCAACACUUCCUUUGGCCGCCUUUCCUUCCAGUUCUCUGCUGCCAAUGACUGGAACAAAUUGCAAAAAUCACUGAAGCUGGAGUCUUAUAUCUCCCUCACUAACUUUAAGCAUCAGCUGUCAGAGCAGUUUACUGAUCACUGUACCUGUACACAGCCAAUCUGUAAAUAGCACACCCAACUACCUCAUCCUCAUAUUAUUUAUCUUUUGCUCUUUUUCACACCAGUAUCUCUACUUGCACAUCCUCAUCUGCACAUCUAUCACUCCAGUGUUAAUGCUAAAUUGUAAUUAUUUCACCUCUAUGGCCUAUUUAUUGCCUUGCCUCCCUAAUCUUCUACAUUUGCACACACUGUACAUGGAUUUUUCUAUUGCGUUAUUGACUGUACGUUUGUUUAUCCCAUGUGUAACUCUGUGUUGUUGUUUUGGUCACACUGCUUUGCUUUAUCUUGGCCAGGUCACAGUUGUAAAUGAGAACUUGUUCUCAACUGGCCUACCUGGUUAAGUAAGGUGAAAUAAAAAUACAAAUAAAAAUAUGGGACCAAAUACUUAACUUUUGAUUAAUUUAAUACACAUAAGUGAAUUUGUCCCAAUAGUUUUGGUCCCCUAAAAUGUGGGGACUAUGUAUAAAAAGUGCAGUAAUUACAAAACAGUUUAUCCAAUACCGUUGUACAGUAAAUACACUAAAAUUAAAUCUGACAGUCUGUACUUUAACCUCAUUGUCAUUGUGUCAUUUCAAAUGAUUCACUGUCCCAAUACUUUUCUAGCUCACUGUAUAUGCCAUGUAGCAGACACUUUUAUCUAAUGUGACUUAGUCACAUGUGCAUACAUUUUAUGUAUGGGUGGCUCGGGGACUCAAACCCACAACCCUGGCAGUGCAAGCGCCAUGCUCUACAAACUGAGCCAUACAGAACCACUUGAGGCCCACUUGACAAAGGAAUAGAACUACUCAGAUUUAGUUUAAUAUGGUAUGUGAAUGAGCUUUCAUUCUCUCACCUGCAUUAAACCAGAACAUUUCCCAAAUCAAUAGGGAACAAAGGCUAAUCUCUGCAUUAUGUACUGUUUGUUGUGUCAGUCGAUGUUUCCAUCUCAAUCUAUAUUGCUUUCACAGGCAAUUGAUGAUCAAGUGGAUAAAGGAGAUUCACAGGGCCCAUUGGACAGGUGUAUGAAAGAGGACACACAUGGAGGAAUCUGAUUCCUAAGACAUUGUGUACUUGUAGCAUAAAUAAUUUUGUAAAUAUAUUCUAUGAACCUUAAAGUAUUGUAUACUUUGAACUACCACAUAAAAAUACCAGAAAAAAUGUACACAUUUUAUUGAUUCACAUUUAAAUGCAUUUCCCUUUGAGGAAACUGAGCAUCUGUACUUAAAAAAGUCCAUUGCUUUCUCUGAAGUGUUCUGAAUGGAUGUU